CAUGACUGGGGUGAAGUCGUAACAAGGUAGCGCUAGGGGAACCUGGCGCUGGAUCACCUCCUUACACGAAGAU
This 73-nucleotide ribosomal RNA is filed under the name Vibrio cholerae. RNAcentral's name for it is "partial 16S ribosomal RNA". The stretch from base 1 to 64 matches the Rfam family "Bacterial small subunit ribosomal RNA", at positions 1470 to 1533 of the family's 1533-position model. Lineage: Bacteria; Pseudomonadati; Pseudomonadota; Gammaproteobacteria; Vibrionales; Vibrionaceae. The record is from RNAcentral.